RNAcentral lists this ribosomal RNA (269 nucleotides) under uncultured prokaryote. RNAcentral's name for it is "partial 16S ribosomal RNA". It matches the Rfam family "Bacterial small subunit ribosomal RNA", at positions 524 to 792 of the family's 1533-position model. The record is from RNAcentral.
UACGGAGGUGGCAAGCGUUGUUCGGAUUCAUUGGGUGUAAAGGGCAUGUAGGCGGUCUCUUAAGUCGAUUGUGAAAUCCCCCGGCUCAACCUGGGAACUGCAAUCGAUACUGGGAGGCUUGAGUGCAGAAGAGGAGAGUGGAAUUCCCAGUGUAAGGGUGAAAUCUGCAGAGAUCGGGAGGAACACCAGUGGCGAAAGCGGCUCUCUGGUCUGCAACUGACGCUGAAAUGCGAAAGCUAGGGGAGCAAACAGGAUUAGAUACCCUCGUA